Monodelphis domestica (gray short-tailed opossum) is the source of this 103-nucleotide small nuclear RNA. NCBI's taxonomy places the organism in Eukaryota, Metazoa, Chordata, Mammalia, Didelphimorphia, Didelphidae. The record is from Ensembl.
GUGCCUGCUUCAGCCAUAUCAAACCAAAAUUGGAACAAUACAAAGAAGACUGGCAUGGCCUUACACAAAGAUGACACACAUUCAUGAAGCAUUCCAUAUAACC